AUAAAACAAACCCAUAAAGCCGGUACGAAACCCGAAACAUUGAUCUUUAGUUUACUAACUGGCCCAGCCUUUCAAAUCCGAAACCAUAAACCAAAACUCAAAUCAAAACGUUGAACCGACUCGAGCCGCACAUGAGGGUGAUCACUUUGACUCAGUAAAAUCGGACGGUGCUGACAGUCGCGUCACCUUUAAGCCAAAUGCGAAGUUUGAAAAACACGGAGAAUUAUGUACCCUGCAGCGCAACACAAACACAAACCAAUCGGUACCGCCAAAUCACUCCGCUCAAAAUCCAGAUCAGCCGAAUU
This 305-nucleotide unclassified non-coding RNA is filed under the name Hevea brasiliensis (rubber tree). The record is from RNAcentral. Lineage: Eukaryota; Viridiplantae; Streptophyta; Magnoliopsida; Malpighiales; Euphorbiaceae.